Molecule: ribosomal RNA, 520 nt
Filed under: uncultured bacterium
Lineage: Bacteria
Description: bacterial SSU rRNA
Rfam family: Bacterial small subunit ribosomal RNA
Source: RNAcentral
AGAGUUUGAUCCUGGCUCAGAUUGAACGCUGGCGGCAUGCCUUACACAUGCAAGUCGAACGGUAACAGGUCUUCGGAUGCUGACGAGUGGCGAACGGGUGAGUAACACAUCGGAACGUGCCCGAUCGUGGGGGAUAACGGAGCGAAAGCUUUGCUAAUACCGCAUACGAUCUACGGAUGAAAGCAGGGGACCCUUGGGCCUUGCGCGGACGGAGCGGCCGAUGGCAGAUUAGGUAGUUGGUGGGAUAAAAGCUUACCAAGCCGACGAUCUGUAGCUGGUCUGAGAGGACGACCAGCCACACUGGGACUGAGACACGGCCCAGACUCCUACGGGAGGCAGCAGUGGGGAAUUUUGGACAAUGGGCGCAAGCCUGAUCCAGCCAUGCCGCGUGCAGGAUGAAGGCCUUCGGGUUGUAAACUGCUUUUGUACGGAACGAAAUCGCAUCAGUUAAUACCUGGUGUGGAUGACAGUACCGGAAUAAGAAGCACCGGCUAACUACGUGCCAGCAGCCGCGGUAAUA